CAUGGAGAGCAAAAGCACCUUCUUGGCGAUUGGAGAAGUAGACAUGGUGUGAUAUUGGUUCGGCUCAUCUUAAUUAAUAGAUUAAUAUUUCAGCCCUUAAGGUUCUUACAUGUAUAUAUCUAGACGAGCCGAAUCAAUAUCACUCUUGUAUGCUUCUUUCUUUUGAUU
Molecule: microRNA precursor, 168 nt
Filed under: Citrus sinensis (sweet orange)
Lineage: Eukaryota; Viridiplantae; Streptophyta; Magnoliopsida; Sapindales; Rutaceae
Source: RNAcentral